Molecule: non-coding RNA, 92 nt
Organism: Gymnopus androsaceus JB14
Lineage: Eukaryota; Fungi; Basidiomycota; Agaricomycetes; Agaricales; Omphalotaceae
Source: the annotation of a GenBank genome assembly
UCCAAUGUGGUGUAGUGGCUAACAUUGCUGUCUUUCAUUUACUCCAUAGAGUGGUUGCACAGCAGCCCGGGGUUCGAUUCCCCGCAUUGGAA